This 253-nucleotide ribosomal RNA is filed under the name uncultured bacterium. Its description in RNAcentral is "partial 16S ribosomal RNA". It matches the Rfam family "Bacterial small subunit ribosomal RNA", at positions 524 to 776 of the family's 1533-position model. The record is from RNAcentral.
UACGUAGGGUGCAAGCGUUAAUCGGAAUUAUUGGGCGUAAAGCGCGCGUAGGCGGUUACUCAAGUCGGAUGUGAAAGCCCUCGGCUUAACUGAGGAAGUGCACCCGAAACUGAGUAGCUAGAGUACUAAAGAGGGUCGCGGAAUUCCCGGUGUAGAGGUGAAAUUCGUAGAUAUCGGGAGGAACACCGGUGGCGAAGGCGGGUCUCUGGGCCGAUACUGACGCUGAGGAGCGAAAGCGUGGGGAGCAAACAGG